GGUCUUGGUCUUGAACCUUCUAUUGCCUCCCCCCUCUAAUUAUACAUGCAAGCCUCACCACAACAGUGAAAAGCCCCACCACCCACAACAUCGGAGCCGG
Molecule: ribosomal RNA, 100 nt
Filed under: Fowlea piscator (Checkered keelback)
Lineage: Eukaryota; Metazoa; Chordata; Lepidosauria; Squamata; Natricidae
Description: 12S ribosomal RNA
Source: RNAcentral